Molecule: ribosomal RNA, 497 nt
Filed under: uncultured bacterium
Lineage: Bacteria
Description: partial 16S ribosomal RNA
Rfam family: Bacterial small subunit ribosomal RNA
Source: RNAcentral
GAUGAACGCUGGCGGCGUGCCUAAUACAUGCAAGUCGAGCGAACAGACGAGGAGCUUGCUCCUCUGACGUUAGCGGCGGACGGGUGAGUAACACGUGGAUAACCUACCUAUAAGACUGGGAUAACUUCGGGAAACCGGAGCUAAUACCGGAUAAUAUAUUGAACCGCAUGGUUCAAUAGUGAAAGACGGUUUUGCUGUCACUUAUAGAUGGAUCCUCGCCGCAUUAGCUAGUUGGUAAGGUAACGGCUUACCAAGGCAACGAUGCGUAGCCGACCUGAGAGGGUGAUCGGCCACACUGGAGCUGAGACACGGUCCAGACUCCUACGGGAGGCAGCAGUAGGGAAUCUUCCGCAAUGGGCGAAAGCAUGACGGAGCAACGCCGCGUGAGUGAUGAAGGUCUUCGGAUCGUAAAACUCUGUUAUUAGGGAAGAACAAAUGUGUAAGUAACUAUGCACGUCUUGACGGUACCUAAUCAGAAAGCCACGGCUAACUACGUG